UCCUACUUCAACCACAAAGUUUCCAUCUCAACAAUUAAUGAACCACAACCCGUCAACCUCUCUAUGGAUGAGGAGAUAAAGGAGGGUCAGAGUGUGUCUCCAUCCUGCUCUGUGUUUUACUCCUGCCCCACCUCUCCUCUUGUUUUCCACUGGAGUCACUCCGGAGACCAGCACUUUCACUCACAGCUGCUCAGUGACGGCCAGUGGAAAUCAACGUCUACUCUGACAUUUCACCCGACCCGUGCUGACCACAAGAAGUCAUUACAAUGCAGUGUUGAAAUGCACAAUAGAAAGCCGCUGUACACAGGAUCCAAGGUCAUUCAAGUGAAAUAUGCUCCAGUGAAUGUGAAGGUUAAGUACCAAUCAGAUGUGAAGGAGGGACAAACUGUCCACCUGAGUUGCUCCAGUGAUGCUAACCCUCGUGUCAGUAGCUACGAG
This is a long non-coding RNA of Mugil cephalus (flathead mullet), 438 nucleotides long. RefSeq lists it as uncharacterized. The transcript has 3 exons. Lineage: Eukaryota; Metazoa; Chordata; Actinopteri; Mugiliformes; Mugilidae. The record is from RefSeq and is a predicted model, not a curated record.